ACUUAAAAUGCGUUUACCGGCCUCAUCCCGAGUUAAAAGGGAAUCCAGUGCAAACCUGGAGCUGACGCGCAGCGGUAUAGAAUGUCAUGGCAAUCGCGCAAGCAGACACUGUCUUCGGAUGGGAAGUCUUUGCCUGUAAACGACUCUGAGCCCGAAGACCUGCCGGAUUAACGUCGCAUUA
Molecule: non-coding RNA, 181 nt
Filed under: Erwinia sp.
Lineage: Bacteria; Pseudomonadati; Pseudomonadota; Gammaproteobacteria; Enterobacterales; Erwiniaceae
Source: RNAcentral